AUGGCCAAAAUCUCCCUCUCACCACCACGAUUUCUCUCUCGGCGUUCUUCCCGUACCAUGUUCUGGGUUGUUCGUUCCUUCCUGCCGAGAGAUCGAUUCCGAGUUAUUGUUGUUUUGUUUGCGGUGGUCAUCUCUUUCGGUGUGCGUCUAUUUUUGUUUUGCCUGGAGCAGAGUUUAUCUAAUCUUCAGGUCGCCGGUGCUCCGUCUGGUUUUUGCUUGCUUUACUAUCUCAUCUCACUGUUGGAUUCAUUUUACCAAUCUUUCCCGGUUUGGUUGCCGGCCGCAAAUUCUUUCCUUUUUCCCCACUCGGUGGCUGUUGUGACUGAUUUCGGAGUUUCCUUUCAAUUUUGUUCUCUUUUAGUAGAAUUUCUGUUUGGUCUGACUUCGCAGCGGCAACAUGAUCAUGGCGGAAGAUUCAUGCUUUUGCCCAAUUGUUUCUGUACGGAUUUGUGUCGAACAGAUCUUCUAAUGUUCGGGGUUCGCAAUUCAAUUUCUCAGCUUGUAGACAUUGUUGCUUUUUGGAACUGA
RNAcentral lists this ribosomal RNA (528 nucleotides) under Triticum aestivum (bread wheat). RNAcentral's name for it is "partial small subunit ribosomal RNA". The record is from RNAcentral. Lineage: Eukaryota; Viridiplantae; Streptophyta; Magnoliopsida; Poales; Poaceae.